CGCUGCCAGUUGCCAACGGGUGAAGCCGGGCACUCUGGCGGGACUGCCAUCGACAAGAUGGAGGAAGGUGGGGAUGACGUCAAGUCAUCAUGGCCCUUAUGUCCAGGGCGACACACGUGCUACAAUGGCCGGCACAGCGGGAAGCGAGGCAGUGAUGCCGAGCGGAUCCCUUAAAGCCGGUCUCAGUUCGGAUUGAAGUCUGCAACUCGACUUCAUGAAGCUGGAAUCGCUAGUAAUCGCAGAUCAGCCAAGCUGCGGUGAAUACGUUCCCGGGCCUU
Molecule: ribosomal RNA, 278 nt
Filed under: uncultured Synergistaceae bacterium
Lineage: Bacteria; Thermotogati; Synergistota; Synergistia; Synergistales; Synergistaceae
Description: partial 16S ribosomal RNA
Rfam family: Bacterial small subunit ribosomal RNA
Source: RNAcentral